Molecule: ribosomal RNA, 462 nt
Filed under: uncultured bacterium
Lineage: Bacteria
Description: bacterial SSU rRNA
Rfam family: Bacterial small subunit ribosomal RNA
Source: RNAcentral
GAUGAACGCUGGCGGCGUGCUUAACACAUGCAAGUCGAGCGGGCAAUUUAUCUAGCACUGAUUACUUCAAAUGGCUAUCGCCAGUGUAAUCAUGAAUUUCUACCUUUUAAUAAAGAAAAAGAAAUUCAUGUACGCAAAUAGUGAUAACACAUGAAAGUGGAGUGAUGAGUGCUGGAUAAAUUGCUAGCGGCGGACGGGUGCGUAACACGUGGGUAACCUGCCCCUAUCACUGGGAUAACACACUGAAAAGUGUGCUAAUACCAGAUAAUAUAAGCUUUUGGCAUCAUUAGCUUAUCAAAGAAUUUCGGAUAGGGAUGGGCCCGCGUCUGAUUAGCUAGUUGGUGAGGUAACGGCUCACCAAGGCAACGAUCAGUAGCCGACCUGAGAGGGUGAUCGGCCACACUGGAACUGAGACACGGUCCAGACUCCUACGGGAGGCAGCAGUGGGGAAUAUUGCACAAU